RNAcentral lists this small RNA (125 nucleotides) under unclassified sequences. Its description in RNAcentral is "LOOT RNA". It matches the Rfam family "LOOT RNA". From Rfam's summary of the family: Latescibacteria, OD1/Parcubacteria, OP11, TM7. The record is from Rfam by way of RNAcentral.
UGCCUAACCCUCGCAGUUGAUCUGCGAGAUAUGGCGUAAAAAACUGUUCAGGCUAUUAAGCUCGUCGUCAGAGCACCUGAACAGUCAUAUCCCGAAAGGGAUAUGGGUAGUCCGCAAGGAUUAUC